RNAcentral lists this ribosomal RNA (692 nucleotides) under uncultured bacterium. RNAcentral describes it as "bacterial SSU rRNA". It matches the Rfam family "Bacterial small subunit ribosomal RNA", at positions 8 to 683 of the family's 1533-position model. The record is from RNAcentral.
AGAGUUUGAUUAUGGCUCAGGACGAACGCUGGCGGCGUGCCUAAUACAUGCAAGUAGAACGCUGAAGAGAGGAGCUUGCUCUUCAUGGAUGAGUUGCGAACGGGUGAGUAACGCGUAGGUAACCUGCCUUGUAGCGGGGGAUAACUAUUGGAAACGAUAGCUAAUACCGCAUAACAAUGGAUGACACAUGUCAUUUAUUUGAAAGGGGCAAUUGCUCCACUACAAGAUGGACCUGCGUUGUAUUAGCUAGUAGGUGAGGUAACGGCUCACCUAGGCGACGAUACAUAGCCGACCUGAGAGGGUGAUCGGCCACACUGGGACUGAGACACGGCCCAGACUCCUACGGGAGGCAGCAGUAGGGAAUCUUCGGCAAUGGACGGAAGUCUGACCGAGCAACGCCGCGUGAGUGAAGAAGGUUUUCGGAUCGUAAAGCUCUGUUGUAAGUCAAGAACGAGUGUGAGAGUGGAAAAUUCACACUGUGACGGUAGCUUACCAGAAAGGGACGGCUAACUACGUGCCAGCAGCCGCGGUAAUACGUAGGUCCCGAGCGUUGUCCGGAUUUAUUGGGCGUAAAGCGAGCGCAGGCGGUUUGAUAAGUCUGAAGUUAAAGGCUGUGGCUCAACCAUAGUUCGCUUUGGAAACUGUCAAACUUGAGUGCAGAAGGGGAGAGUGGAAUUCCAUGUGUAGCGGUG